UGGAGGGAUCCGCCGGUGCCAUCCAGGCUCCCGACCGACGGACUUGCUGGGUCGCCACCCCUCCCGUGCGGUGGGGACAUCCACGUCGGCGCUGGCUGGGUACUGAGUGGCGGGGCCCGUCAUGCGUUCGGUCGAGGGAUUGGUCGUGCCGGCGCAGGAUCUUAGCCGCCGUCGAUGGAUUUCUCACAGCUUGGCUACCUGUUGCUUUGGAUCCGGUUCAGUAGCGGGCAAUGCUCAAGACAGAGUUGGGCGCACAUCAUAUAUAUACAUAUGUUGUCAUGUCUUAAUAAAUGGAGAUGAGCAGAAGUAGAGAUGAGAUAUCUAUCCGACUGUCAUCCUUCCCAGACUUGGGUUUGUCAUCUCUGGCACAAUAACUCUAAUCCGACUUGAGCAGUGCAACCACGACAGUGCGCAGUGGAACCGUAAGAUAGAGAUAGAUACAGGUAGAAUAUAACUGGUCAUAUUUCUAAAAUGAUCACACUACUUAUGGUGCCGGAAGAGAAGGCAUCAGUGAUAGCGGGCUUGGUGAUGAGGGCAUCAAUACAAAGAGAUUAAUUCACAACUUUGUUCUUGAUGGGUUUUACAAAUAUACAAGGUACUACUGUUUCCUUUUAUGUUUAAAUAGCUUUGUGAGUACAGUUAUAUGAAAAUUCUGUGACUCAUAGCGCGGAAGCGGGCAUCUUUGUUUUCCUGGCCCAAAAUACUUAGUUUCAUGCCUCCAUGGUAUAAUUUAGAGGCACAGUCCAAUGAGAGAUUCCUACUUAUCUAGCUAAUAUAUAACGUUUGACGGUACUGUCUUGUGUUGUAAAUACAAAAUAUGCUGCAUGAGCAUUACUUUUAUUUUGAAUUUAAUUUUGUGUUUGAGCCUCUCUUACAUAUUAAGUGUAAUAUCACAGACUUUCUUCUUUCAGGGUUAACUGGCCAUGCAAAAACUGUUGUGAGGCAUUAAAUGGUACUAUAUGUGUUUGGCCUGAUUUUGUUCACUUUUGUCCUUUCCAAAGUGGAAUAAGAAAAGAAAGUCAAAACAGGCUCAACCAUGACUACUCUGCUCUUGUGAUCACCAAUUUCUGCUCCAUUGCGCACAAGAAAGUAGUGACUAUUUAUUUGCUUAAACAAUAUGUCCAGCCACCAAUUUCUGCACGUCUUGCUAAUAUUCCUUUAUGGAUGUAUCACACAAAUUUCGGUUAUUGGAUAUGAAAUGUAGGUUCUCUACUCAGAGCUGGGUCCAAUGGUCAAUGUAGCUCUAUGUUGUGCUAUCUUGCUAUUGGGCUUUUUUUCGUUACUUAAAAUGGUUGAUUGCUUAUAACCAAAAUAACUAUGUUAGUACAGUGAAGCCAAUUUCUACAUUGUUGGUGAAGUUGGCUAAAUAGUUUUUGCGCCACUAAGAUAUAUAUGUGCACUGCAUUCUAACCCUGUAAAUUGUUGUUCUAUUAGUUUAAUCCGGAAUAUAGUUAUGUUUGUGUCUCGACAUAUGCUUGUGAUGCAUCGUGCUACCAGAGGCCAACAUUAUCAAGUAUCAUAGCGACGCUAAAAAUGCCUAUUGGUUACUCUGCAUUUUCUCAUCUGAUCUCUCAUAUAUAGAUAUUAAUUUCCUUUCACGGGAGGCCUUCAUUACAUAGCGGAAGUUGUGGAUGUGGUCGGCGGUUGAGGGAGGGUCUCCGACUAGAGCAGUAGGAGCAAGGAGCUCGAGGAGGUUCAGGUAUGGCUUCUCAUGGGAUGUGAUUAUGGUCAUGCUGCUUAUUACGAAGCUACGGUGAGCAUUAUGAAGAUGAGCAGGCGAGUGGCUGAUAUAGAGAGCUCCUCGAACGGGGAAGUAGCAUUGCUGGAGGAACUCGAAGAUGAGAAGGAUCCGUUGUCAUGCCUUUGCCUUACUGCUGUGCUGAUACUGGAUGCAACAUUGUGGACCUUUGGUUCGAGCAUGGCCAGCAUCGCCACAGAUUGUAGGGGAGAAAUGUAUUGCCUAAUGAGUUGUAUGCUUUCUUCGGAUCCUCCGUGCUUCCUAUCACAUCUGGCUUGGCCACCUACAGAUUCUUGGGUCUAGUUGAAGGGUCCUCCAGGCUUAAGAUCUUUCUAGGAUAGUUGCAUCAUUUAAUCUGAAGGUUAUGCGAUCUCCUGUGUUGCUGCAUGUUGAUCUUCUGUUUUGUUGUAACUCUGUUUUGCUGCUUGAGGUUUGCUUCCUUUCUUUCUGGCUACAUGUGUAUUCUUUGAUUUCUAGCUACAUGUAUGUUUUCCUUUUGCUCAUGGAAUAGUUUAGUUAUAUUGAACAGGAACAUCUCUAUUAUUAGAGACAUACUAGGCCUGUGCUUCUUCACAGUGGCCAUCUCUUUUUUUGUGAGAAGUGUGCCUUAUGGCCGAAAAUCCAUCUCUGCACCCGAGCUCAUCUGCACCCACACUGACGAAAAAGAUCAAAAUAAAUACUAGAAAAAUUCAAAAAAUUCCAAUUUUUUUGUGCGGUACACAAUUUGAUGCGUCAGAUCCGCUCCAAUUUUCAUAUUGUUUGGACACCUGAGGAGCUCUCAGCAAAAAAACAAAUUGGGGGUGUGUAAAAAUGUUUACUGUUCAUUAUUAUGUUAUAUUCUGCUUUUGUCAGUUUGCUGGUCCAUAUUAAUUUCCUCGAGCUUAUUUUCACAUCUUGUCAUAUUUACACCUCUCCGCCGGCUGCCACCUAUCAUGGAGGGAGAUGGCUUGGCCAGGCCGUCAACACCCAUCGGCAACUUCCGGCAAGCGUCGUCCCAUUCUUCCUCCCCUUACUCUGAUGCCUUGAUGGCCAAAAUCAUUAGCAGGAGCAAGAAGGGCUGGGUUUUAUAAGUGCAAUGGCUUGAAAUGUGACCUUCCAGUCAAGAAAUUUCCUCAGUGAGAAGCUUAUGCGAAGAAUGAUGAAAUUAAGUUAGCAAUUUACAGUUCUCUUUGAUAAUUGUAACUGAAUUGUCAAUGGCCAGUUCUCUCGAAUAAUGAGUUACUCCCUCAAUUUUACAAUAGAGAUAAUUUGUCAAAAUUGUGUUUUUGUAAUGUUUGUGGUCUUCUCUUUUCUUUUUCUUGAUUUGUAUUGUAUAUGCUACUUGCAUAUUUGAACAUGCAUAGGACCUCUCAGUCUUUAACCCUGACUAUAAAAAUCCAUUGAUGGAAGCUGGGGAGGGCCGAGAUGAACAUCCAGCUCCCUGGGUCUAAGCCAUCGAGAUGGUAGAGACGACGUUUCCAUGUCAUCUACUCCAGCAGCCGGACAAGGCAUAUAAAAACCAUGGAUCCUUACUCCCCAUGCCGCAAAAUGAUCACAGUGAUGUCUACGACCUUCUCCUAGAUGUAUUAAUCUCAAUCUCAUGUUUGGUUUUCUUUCCUUUUCUCUUCUAAUGAUGUAAUUUCUUUUACUAAGAUAACACCAUCUUUGUUGUAAUUUCUUAUUUGAUGUAAGAUCCCUUUUCUA
Molecule: long non-coding RNA, 3421 nt
Organism: Triticum aestivum (bread wheat)
Lineage: Eukaryota; Viridiplantae; Streptophyta; Magnoliopsida; Poales; Poaceae
Exons: 9
Source: RefSeq, a predicted model, not a curated record